GGAAUUAAGCAUAUAAGUAAGCGGAGGAUAAGAAACUAAAUAGGAUUCCCUCAGUAAUGGCGAAUGAACAGGGAUAAGCUCAGCAUGGAAAUUGGGGCCCUCGGCCUUGAAUUGUAGUCUUGAGAUGUGUUACCAACGGAGGCGCAGAUGUAAGCCUCUUGGAAAAGAGCGUCAGGGAGGGUGAGAGUCCCGUAUGUCAUCUGCAGUUCUCUGUGCACGGUGCAUGUUCUAAGAGUCACGUUCCUCGGGAUUGGAGCGCAAAUUGGGUGGUAAAUUUCAUCUAAAGCUAAAUAUUGGUUCGAGACCGAUAGCAAACAAGUACCAUGAGGGAAAGGUGAAAAGGACUUUGAAAAGAGAGUUAAAAGUGCCUGAAAUUGCUGAAAGGGAAGCGAAUGGAACCAGUUGUUCUUGGUGAGUAUUGGUGUUGUCUAAAGUGAUGGCUUGCCACUUCAACGCAAGUGUGGUGGCAGGUUUUGAUCUGGAUGCGAUACUGCUUCUCGCCUUGCAUGUCAACGUCAGUUCAUAAUUGAGGAAAACUCUAAGGACAUGGUAAUUCGCUUCCGAGUGACUGAAUGUCCUCAGUUGAACUCAUUUUUGAACUGCUCUCUGUGUGUCUGGUAGCACUGCUUCAUGUGCUUGCCUGCGAUCUUCUGCUCUGCAUGAAGGUUGUUGGUGCCAGGAGCAUGUCCUUGACAUUAGAACGAUGACGAAAUGGUUUUAUUCGACCCG
This 729-nucleotide ribosomal RNA is filed under the name Karenia mikimotoi. RNAcentral's name for it is "LSU rRNA". It matches the Rfam family "Eukaryotic large subunit ribosomal RNA", at positions 30 to 651 of the family's 3401-position model. Lineage: Eukaryota; Dinophyceae; Gymnodiniales; Kareniaceae. The record is from RNAcentral.